Molecule: ribosomal RNA, 460 nt
Filed under: uncultured bacterium
Lineage: Bacteria
Description: partial 16S ribosomal RNA
Rfam family: Bacterial small subunit ribosomal RNA
Source: RNAcentral
CCUACGGGUGGCAGCAGUGAGGAAUAUUGGUCAAUGGACGCAAGUCUGAACCAGCCAUGCCGCGUGCAGGAUGACGGCUCUAUGAGUUGUAAACUGCUUUUGUACGGGAGUAAACCCCGAUACGUGUAUCGGGUUGAAAGUAUCGUCCGAAUAAGGAUCGGCUAACUCCGUGCCAGCAGCCGCGGUAAUACGGAGGAUCCGGGCGUUAUCCGGUUUUAUUGGGUUUAAAGGGUUCGUAGGCGGUGUGAGAAGUUAGAUGUGAAAUUUUGGGGCUCAACCCCGAAACUGCCUUUAAUACUGUAGGACUAGAGAACAGGUGCGGUAGGCGGAAUGCAUGGUGUAGCGGUGAAAUGCUUAGAGAUCAUACAGAACACCGAUUGCGAAGGCAGCUUACCAAACUAUAUCUGACGUUGAGGCACGAAAGCGUGGGUAGCAAACAGGAUUAGAUACCCGUGUAGUC